Long non-coding RNA from Gallus gallus (chicken), 2515 nucleotides. Lineage: Eukaryota; Metazoa; Chordata; Aves; Galliformes; Phasianidae. The record is from Ensembl.
AACACAUACACUAUUUUGUUCUAUGGAUCACAAAAAAGCAAAACUUUCUAGUGAGCUCUCUGACAGCACUAAAGGCAGAUGAGAUUCUGCUCAGGACAUUUAAAGCUUUAAAAGCAUUGGGGCACUUAUCUCUACUUCUUCCAGCUACCAGAAGAGCAGCUAGCAGCAUAAUUUACAGAGAAAACAGCCCAUUUUCUAUCUUUCUUGUCUCCUGCUCCACAAAGUUCUUUGGAACUGUAAGAUACAGCUGUGCUACAAAACUCUGAAAAAUGAAAAAUUUAAUUACAAAACUUGGUUACAGCUGGGCAUCUGCAGUAAUGAGGAUCUUGAGAGUUUAAGAAUCAACUAAUGAACAGGAUGUCUGCAAUUUAUCAAAGGGUUAAUCAGGGCCAUGCAAGUCUUUUGUUAUAUUGUAGGAGGGUGAAUAUACUAAGAGGUGUCAGCAAGGACCAAACACCUGAUGCUGAUACAAGCUGACAUUUUUAUGUGAGCUCAGGAUGGGAAUAAGGUAACUAAUCAGUUAAAAAGUUCAUGAAAGAUUCCUAAUGUGAAUUUAAAGGUAAUAGGAGAAUGUGCAAGAUAAUGUCUGAGGAAGCAGUUGACUACAUUUCAGCAGAGAGCACAGAUUGAACUCUUUGUCUUCAGUCUUUUGGGGGAGUGCAUGCCAUUGUCACUGGUGCAUGCCUGAAAUUAUCUCAGCACCCUGGAUAAAGACAUAUUUGUGGUGAACCUGUGCUGUAUCUUCUUGGAUGCCUGAACCCGUCUGAUGGUGUUUAAGAGUUGGUCCUGGAGGGAGGCUCUGGAGCCAUCAGCUGUGAUCAAGAGGAGAGAAUGUCUACCCUAGGAGACAGCAGUCCCAGAAGUGGCAGAGGAGUGGGAAAUUUGUAAGACAAAUCACCAAAGCAGUCACACAUCAAGAUUCUGGGGUGUGAAAAGGGAUCCAGAAGAUUUGGACAUCAGCUCCGACUGCAGAUAAAUGGAGCACGUAGCGGACAUAUCUCCACCUCCAUCAGUGAGAAACUUGAAGAAGAAAGAAGAAAUUCUCAAGAGUGCAGUCUUGUACAUGCAUUCACCCCAGUAAAGGAUCAGCCUGCUUUUCUCAUUACUUAGAGGAGUUUAUCUGCUCUAUUCUUAAAAACUGCCACUAGACAGAGGAAACACAGUCCUUCCAAUGUAUUACUAUCCUCACACAGAUGUACUGCUUUGCAGGAACAUUUAGUAUCUUUUAAGACUUGUCAUGCCCCUCCAUUCAUCUUAUGUCAUUUGAAACUAAAAAUCUUAAUUUCUUUCUAGUUCCUGCAAAUCACAUUUUUGAAAGCUCUGAACAUUUUUGCUGUUCUUUAUUACCUCUCUUUAACUAGUUGACAGGUUUUUCAAAGUGCCGUGUGCAAAUGGGACACAGUAUCCCAAUUAAAGCUUUGUGGAGUGAAAUGAUAGCUUCAUAUGUUGUAUCACAAGCCAAUUAAAACCCCUUUUUGUGACAUCUGCCUUGUUCACAGUAGUACAAUGCUGCUGACUCAUGUUUGGCUUCCCAUCCCUCAUGACUCCUAUGUCACCUCUGUUACAGCCAAGCUGUUCCAUCCUACCCCAAAUUUGAGAUAUACUCUAUCCUUUCUUUUCACAGAAUUUACUUCUUCCAUUUCUCCUAGUUGUUUUGAGUUUCUAUCCUGUCCCCCCAGCUGAUGGCAGUGCCUUCCAGUUUGCUGUCCUGUUGUGUGUUGUCUGCAGACACGCUUUCUGCUCUAGCACAUUGGUCAUUAGUUGCAAAUCCAUCAUCUAGGAUAAACCCUCUGUGGUACUUCACUCAAUGCAAUCUUCCUGUACAACAGUAAAUCACUAGUAACAGCUGCCUGUCUCCCAAUCACCUUCAUCCUAGAGAAAAAUUAUUGUUUGCUUAUGUGAAUGCCACUCUUAAAUUUGUGAUUUAAAAGCAAAAGAAAUAGGGAAAUAAUUUGUGGCCAUCAUUAGACAUUAGUUGCAACUUAAAUAAAUCGAAUCACUAGACUAUUUUCUUUGACUUGUGAAUACUUGGAGUAAGUUUAACACAACUUCAAGUCUUCUCAGGGUUUGUCUCCUCAAAACAAUCAGUUUUGUUUGUUUGUUUGUUGUUUGUUUUUUAAAUAAAGGUAGCAUAUAUAUACUUAAAUGUUUCUCAGAUGAUAGCAAAAUUUCAAACACACAGGAUUUCAACAGUUUUUGAAGGGGUUGCUUGUUCUGUAAUAGAGAUGCAAAUGGUAAUGUUUAGUACCUGCUGUUAGUAAAUACUAGUUAGAACAGCCUUCUCUCCUCUGUCUGGGGAAAUAAAAAUAACCAAUAUGCCUAGUCUCUUUGGUGAGACUUCAAGUACAAUAUCCAGUGUGCUACCAGUGCUGGGUUUGCAGGAUUGUGUAGGGACUCUACUGAUCAGAAAGCCUGGGGAGAAAGCCUGCCUCUUCCUUCGGGCAGAGAAACAGCUCUUCACUGACAUAGAGAGAACAGAAUGAAAACACAGAGUCUUGCCUUGCUCUGCCGUGAC